RNAcentral lists this ribosomal RNA (407 nucleotides) under uncultured bacterium. RNAcentral describes it as "partial 16S ribosomal RNA". It matches the Rfam family "Bacterial small subunit ribosomal RNA", at positions 28 to 526 of the family's 1533-position model. The record is from RNAcentral.
GACGAACGCUGGCGGCGUGCCUAAUACAUGCAAGUAGGACGCAGUUGCGAACGGGUUAGUAACGCGUAGGUAACUACCUAUUAGAGGGGGAUAACUAUUGGAAACGAUAGCUAAUACCGCAUACUAGUAGAUGGACCUGCGUUGUAUUAGCUAGUAGGUAGGGUAAUGGCCUACCUCGGCAACGAUACAUAGCCGACCUGGGAGGGUGUACGGCCACCACGGGACUGGGGCACGGGCCAAACUCCUACGGGAGGCAUCAGUAGGGAAACUUCGGCAAUGGGGGGAACCCUGGCCGAGCAACGCCGCGGGAGUGAAGAAGGUUUUCGGAUCGUAAAGCUCUGUUGUUAAGGAAGCGGUACUUAACCAGAAAGGGACGGCUAACUACGUGCCAGCCGCCGCGGUAAUAC